This 783-nucleotide ribosomal RNA is filed under the name uncultured endophytic bacterium. RNAcentral describes it as "bacterial SSU rRNA". It matches the Rfam family "Bacterial small subunit ribosomal RNA", at positions 8 to 790 of the family's 1533-position model. The record is from RNAcentral.
GGAGAGUUUGAUCAUGGCUCAGGACGAACGCUGGCGGCGCGCCUAAUGCAUGCAAGUCGAGCGAGGCUCCACCCUUCGGGGUGGAUGUCCUAGCGGCAAACGGCUGAGUAACGCGUGGGUGAUCUACCCCAGAGAGGGGAAUAACCCGCCGAAAGGCGGACUAAUUCCGCAUACGCUCCACCGUGUAAAGGCGGUGGUGGAAAGGGUUCCGGGCAACCGGCGCCGCUCUGGGAGGAGCUCGCGUCCUAUCAGGUUGUUGGUGGGGUAACGGCCUACCAAAUGCCAAAGACGGGUAGCUGGUGUGAGAGCACGACCAGCCAGAGGGGGACUGAGACACGGCCCCCACUCCUACGGGAGGCAGCAGCAGGGAAUCUUGCACAAUGGGCGAAAGCCUGAUGCAGCGACGCCGCGUGAGGGACGAAGGCUCUAGGGUUGUAAACCUCUUUUCUCAGGGAAGAGCAAGGACGGUACCUGAGGAAUAAGCCACGGCUAACUACGUGCCAGCAGCCGCGGUAAUACGUAGGUGGCAAGCGUUGUCCGGAAUUAUUGGGCGUAAAGGGUCCGUAGGCUGUUUUGUAAGUCUCCUGUGAAAACUCCAGGCUCAACUUGGAGCGGUCGGGGGAUACUGCAGGACUGGAGGCUGUCAGAGGAAAGCGGAAUUCCCGGUGUAGUGGUGAAAUGCGUAGAUAUCGGGAGGAACAUCAGUGGCGAAAGCGGCUUUCUGGGACAGUUCUGACGCUGAGGGACGAAAGCGUGGGGAGCAAACAGGAUUAGAUACCCUGG